This 219-nucleotide long non-coding RNA is filed under the name Vigna radiata. RNAcentral's name for it is "long non-coding RNA (VRAD_LNC000292)". The record is from RNAcentral. Lineage: Eukaryota; Viridiplantae; Streptophyta; Magnoliopsida; Fabales; Fabaceae.
GGGAAUUCAUAAAUGAGUAAUGGCCUUACAACAUGUUCCCAAGGUCACGUGUGUAUUAUCUCGAAGAAAAACAUUUACCAUAUUCGUAACCUUCACUUUUCAAAUAUUCAGGAGAAAAUGGUUAAAGCAAAGGAAACUAGUCUUAUUAGUUAAUCACCCUAUUACAUAAAGAAAAUAUCUUAUACGAUUUAUAUAGAAAAAAUCUAUAGAAUUAUUUUC